GAAAAAGCAGAUUGAACUGUUUCUGGAAGGAAAGAGUGGGGACACCCUGCCUGAAGGCUGGCCUGUGAGGAGCAGACUGAGGAUGGGCCUGGUCCUCCUUUUCCUGGUGGAAAAUGCCAGACUCUGCUUGUCCGAAGGUGACUUGACCUCACUGUGCUCCAUCCUCUGCCCCAGCACCUGCUCUCCAGAUGUCCUACACCGUGAACUCCACCACAUCCUGGGCACAUCUGAGAGCAUGUCGGGAAUGUUUUCAAAAUGCUGAUGCACCUUGUGGACACCCUUCAGGAUGUGAUUCUUGAGAAGACCUCGUUAGAGUCCUACUUGACUGUGUGCCUGAAGCUCCAUCAAGCUGCCUGCAGGAUCACCAAAUGCCUGAGGUUUUAUGAGAUCCCCGCCUUGUCUGCUGAGGUCAUUUGCAGAGUCAUCAGACUUAGACCUCCAGUGGACGUGGCAGAGGACCCGGGAGCCACAGCCCAGAAGGGCUUCCUGACAGUUUUCCUCCAGGGUGUCCUGGCCACCACAAGAUCCUGGCUGUGCACAGUGUUAGCAAAGAGAAUGUUCCGGAAGGGUUCGACUCUCCUUUUCACCUACCCGGAGGAGAUCCAGGUCUGGCGGCGGCUGGUGGAAAUAAACUUUCCUGCAGAGUAUGACUGGAAGGAGUCGCUGCUGGGGGACAUGGAAGGGAGGCUCAAGAAGGAGAGGCCUCUUUCCCAGAUCUCUGCCUUCUGCAGCCCUCACUGGGAUGCCGCUGGCCUCAAGGACAGUGUGGCCAGGAGCUUUGAGAAGUGUGUCAUCGAAGCUGUGAGCUCUGCUUGCCAGGUGACCAAUCUCUUCUUGGGAAACAUG
Molecule: long non-coding RNA, 846 nt
Filed under: Ictidomys tridecemlineatus (thirteen-lined ground squirrel)
Lineage: Eukaryota; Metazoa; Chordata; Mammalia; Rodentia; Sciuridae
Description: lncRNA (ENSSTOG00000032267.1)
Source: RNAcentral